Molecule: ribosomal RNA, 229 nt
Filed under: uncultured bacterium
Lineage: Bacteria
Description: partial 16S ribosomal RNA
Rfam family: Bacterial small subunit ribosomal RNA
Source: RNAcentral
UGCGUAGGCGGGGCAAUUAGUCAGUGGUGAAAUCCUGUGGCUUAACCGUAGAACUGCCAUUGAUACUGUUGCCCUUGAGUAUAGUUGAAGUGGGCGGAAUGUGUAAUGUAGCGGUGAAAUGCAUAGAGAUUACACAGAACACCAAUUGCGAAGGCAGCUCACUAAGCUAUAACUGACGCUGAGGCACGAAAGCGUGGGGAGCGAACAGGAUUAGAUACCCUGGUAGUCC